RNAcentral lists this ribosomal RNA (429 nucleotides) under Gemmatimonadota bacterium. RNAcentral's name for it is "Gemmatimonadetes bacterium partial 16S ribosomal RNA". It matches the Rfam family "Bacterial small subunit ribosomal RNA", at positions 355 to 776 of the family's 1533-position model. Lineage: Bacteria; Pseudomonadati; Gemmatimonadota. The record is from RNAcentral.
UAGGGAAUCUUCGGCAAUGGACGAAAGUCUGACCGAGCAACGCCGCGUGAGUGAAGAAGGUUUUCGGAUCGUAAAACUCUGUUGUUAGAGAAGAACAAUGACGUUAGUAACUGAACGUCCCCUGACGGUAUCUAACCAGAAAGCCACGGCUAACUACGUGCCAGCAGCCGCGGUAAUACGUAGGUGGCAAGCGUUGUCCGGAUUUAUUGGGCGUAAAGCGAGCGCAGGCGGUUUCUUAAGUCUGAUGUGAAAGCCCCCGGCUCAACCGGGGAGGGUCAUUGGAAACUGGGAGACUUGAGUGCAGAAGAGGUGAGUGGAAGUCCAUGUGUAGCGGUGAAAUGCGUAGAAAUAUGGAGGAACACCAGUGGCGAAGGCGGCUCUCUGGUCUGUAACUGACGCUGAGGCUCGAAAGCGUGGGGAGCAAACAGG